GACCAGGUCAGGACAAUGCGGGACGUGUGGACAUGCCUGUGUGAAGGCACAUCAGGGCCUCCCAGCUCUGGGUCAGUGUGGUCCAAGUUGCCAGCCGUCUCCCAGGUUGUCUGAAGCCCUCAAAAGGAAGUGCCUAGCCCAGCAGCUCUGGCCACUGUAGAACGAGGCAGGACAGGCCUGUGCUUUGUCCUUGUUUCCAAGAGGUGGCACUGGGCUUCAGCUCACCGCUCAGCAGACCCACGAGGGCCUAGACCCAGCAGGACCUGGGAAUCUCUGGAUCUGCCAAACCACACUCCAAAAUGCUGUGUUGUGUGGGAAGCCAUUCUCGCAUGUGAUUGGGCACCUCCCUGAUUGGGUGUGAGGCAUUCUGCUAAACUGUGUGGAACUAAUCCACACCCCCUCUAGGUGCGAGAGCCCAUCCUGUAGGGGGGUGACUGACCAUUGACCCUGAGACCAAUCACUGACCCUGACCUUGGAAUGCUGUCCCCCUCGACCUUCAUUAGAUGAAAUUUUCCCCUGAAUUUCUUGUUCCCCAAUAAAAGGCCACUCCCUGGCAUGCUCUCUCUCUCCUGCUAGUCCUGAGUAAGCCUCGCUAGCUGUCCCACUGGGUGGCUCGAGGCAGGAGCCAGAGGGAGGGCCGUCUCAGAUCUGGUCAAAGGAAAAGGUAAUCGAGUCUUGUGUGUUUAUUUUGAUCCCACUAUUAACUUCUAUGCUACAAACCUCUUGUAUGAAGCCAGCGUGCU
This 743-nucleotide long non-coding RNA is filed under the name Marmota monax (woodchuck). The record is from RNAcentral. Lineage: Eukaryota; Metazoa; Chordata; Mammalia; Rodentia; Sciuridae.